GCCUAUAUCACCACUUCCUCAUAAGUGCUGGAUAGCCUAUCCACCACUUAUGUUGACAGAUAUGGAGAAUCCGUCAAAAAGUUGUGGAUAAGCCUAUCCGGCAAUUUAUCAGGAAGUGGAAAACAGACCCUAAGUAUUUUUAUUGCAAUUUAAUAACUUGGUUUUAUUAGCGUAUAAGAUUUAAUUAAAACUUAUAAAAAAAAUAAAAAUUAAGGCCUAAUGCAUAAAAAUAUUAGUACUUGUACUAGUCUAUUUUAGUCUUCAAUAUUUAAAUUUAGAAUAAAUUUUGUUUUUUUUCCUGAUAGUUGCCAGUAUGCCGUGUGUGGUUGCAAGUGUUGAUACCUCUCUAAAAGUUUUUAAAAUUCGUAAUCCCCGCUUAAUUAUUUUAAGAUUAAAUCUAUUAUAAACUACCUUAUUAUAGCACUAUAGUAUUGUAAAUAAUGCGGUCUCUACACACAGAUGCUUACAAAACAAAGUUUAUUGACAUAUAUUGCAUAUUCGUAGUUAAGCAGUCAAUCGAUAGUACAUAAUAACAACAAUAUCAAAGAACCCUAAUUAUUUUCUGCCGCCCGCAAUGCCGUCUCAUAUGUUAAACGAUUUUAAUUUUAUCGAAGUUUGCUCGUUCGAAUAUAGAAUUAUAUUUAAAAGUUAAAUAUACAUUUUAAUGAGUGUAUCGCAUAAAAAUAUUUGAAAAAAAAAUUACAAAAAAAAUUUAACGAGCUGUUGUUGGUAUAUUUAGGAAAAUAUUAAAAAAUGAACCAGAUCAUCUGAUGGUGGCCAUGUACAAAGAGAGUGAGGCGGCAUUACAGGCGGCGCUUAGACUCAGAUUAUAGAAUCAUAAUGUUUAAUAGUCAAUACAGAGGCAUCUAGAGAUGUAUAUAGGACGUCACGCGCGGCCCCUCCGGUACAAAUCCAAAGUAACGAUUUAUUGGAACAAAAAUUCAGAGUUUACAGAGGUCCUCCUAUGAUAUACGUCGUAAAUAUUUUAUUAAAGAUCUUUUAACAUUACCUCUUUAGAUUUGUAAUAGAAAAUUAUAGUAGAAGGCUCCUAAAUUCGCGAGAAGUAUUUUCAGUUCCAACAGAGUAUCGGAAAGCGACUGUACAAAACUGGUUUCUCGAAGGUUUCUUAAAAAACUUUUGUCUACUCUACAAUUAUUUAGGUGUAUUAGAUUUAAAACCUUUUGGGUUCCUCCUCUACCUACUCGUACUUUGUAGUUCUUCCCCCUUCUAGAAAAGCUACUGUUAGAUCUUACCGAAGUAGAAUUCAAGCUAAAGGUUGUAUAGGAGUAAGUGAGCAGUAGCCCCACAGCAGAUCAUUAUCGUAAGAUGUGUUUUAUUAUUCAUAUUUUAGUCACUUAGUUAUUUGUUCAGUUUGAAUAAAUGUACACUAACGUUGCAAACUUCCUAGUUUAUUUGCAAAUAUUUGUUAAAUUUUUGUAAUUAAUGACAAUUUAUUUAGACACCUACAUUCAAAUGUGUACAUGUUGAAUUUGUUGUGGUGUAAUUUAGUGAAUUGCUUAAAAGUACAAACAAACAAUUUGUUACUUUUGCAAAUUUUAUAAAUCGAAUGCAUAUAAAGUGACAGUGAUCUAUAUAAUCUUUACGUAAUAGUUACUGUAAAUCCUAAUAUAGGGCGGGAUCGUUUCACCUCACAAAAGUGACCCAUCCGUUAUUUUUAAACUUAGUUUUUCGUUGGUAAAUUUAGGAGCAAAAGUUGUUACUUAUUAUAAAACUAUAUCUUUAUCGGUUUACGCGUGCAUUUCUACUCGUAUUUUAUCGGAUACUAUAGAAUAGAUCAGUAGAGCACGCAGUUCGUAGGUACCCGACCCGGCGACUCAGCCGUACUGAGUCUCGUCUCGCUUUCCAACCUAGUGUAGUUACUUCCAGUAGUUCUCAUAUAGAAUCUUAGAUUUUAUUUAACUAUAAAGUGUGAAUGAGAAGUAUGCGUGGUCAUAACCUAACUUUAGUCAUCGUUUUUCGUAUUUUAAUCUCGCGCCGAGCGUCGGCGCAGGGCCGAUAAACCGUGUACAUUCUGGUCAUAGGCGGCGCCCCGGGCGUUCCAUAAGAAACUUCAAUUUUAAUUAAAUAUUACGAAUGCACUCUCCGAUGAUAAGUACCCCUGCCCCUAGUGACACUAUCAUUAACAUAGUAUUAAGGCGCGAGCACGCUGGAUUCCAGUCGUGUCUUUAGGCCAGUCGUGUCGCGCACUAUGCUUAAAUUGGUCGUAAGCUUCUUAUCAUAAAAUUGUCUUCAUUAAUGUCUCUGAUAGAAGUCCCAAAAUUGUGAUAUGAUAUAAGACUUCGGUCGCCCGAACGUAGCUAGUUAGACUGUUUUUUAAUAACGGUGUUAUGAAUAUUUGAAAAUUCGUCAAUUCCUUUGCAAAUACCGUGCGACUCUAUGCAGCUGACGUCUAUGAUUUCGCGACUGAAAAGACUGAAAAUAAAUCGUAUAUUUUUGGGAUAGAAUUCUAAGGAACUUAGAGUAUAGUGUUUCUCGUUUGUGCGUGACCAAGUCCAUGUCUACAUAAAUACCUCGAUGUCAAAUAAGAGUGAAACAAAACUUGAGCACUAAAAAUCAAAAUCUGUGAAUCGAAUUGUUCGUUAAUCCGAAUUGAAAUGGUAAAUCAGAUGUCAUUUCUGGAACCAUCUGUUCGACCGACGACUCGGGGACCUUGAACGAUCUCUAUUGGUUUAAUUGAGUUCGAGAACAAGCGAAUAUGAAAUUGAAUCUAAUUAUCGAAGCGAUUAAGACCCGGCGAAGGGUGCGAUCGAUGAAUCUGGGUUUCACUUUUAUUUGACUACCCCCCAUUCUCCCCGGCGCAUAGAGUCCGCGACAGCUCAAACUCCAAACACAUUGGCUGAUUCUAGUAUACGGCUGUUAUUGGUUAGUGAAAGAUCAAUGUGUUAAUUAUAUUUUGAUACUCGAUGUUUUCUACACUAACGUAGAUGUAUUAAUCUUUUGUAUUAACUUUUCUAGUUAGGCUCCCCGGCGCUCCAUCGCGCAGCAUCGUUUCGCGUCAUUUUCACGUAACGUCUGUACGUAGUGUCAGAUAAUCGGGCGCGGUGGAGCGUGCGAAGUGAUAUUACGUCGUGAAUGUCUUCGCGAGCGGAGACGGAAAGAAUUUCGCGAUCCGUCUUCGUAGUUUCCACGGCACAUGAAAAUUGUAAGACGGCAAAAUUGGUGAUAAUCCUACGAAUUGGUUAACGAUAAUAAUUAAGUUAUUGCAUGGCAAUUAGAGUAACGUGAUGCGCGGGGUGUAUCAGGGUAUGAGUGUCAUAACUUGUAACUAACGUUAACUUUUGUACUUUCGUAACGGUAACGAGUAAUUUAGAGGUAAAGUUUUUUCUAUUAAUAUAAAAUUCGUAAUUAAUCAAUUUUUUUACUGGAUAUGUAGAUGUAGUAUUUUUAUAAGGGCGAGAUAAGCUCGCGAGUACGUGUAUCACAGCGAUAAUAGUUAUUGUAUACGACCACCUCGGCCCGUCGUCGAGGAGUCGUCCGCAUUCAUGAAAGGAUUUUGAUA
This is a long non-coding RNA of Aricia agestis (brown argus), 3520 nucleotides long. RefSeq lists it as uncharacterized. The transcript is spliced from 4 exons. The record is from RefSeq and is a predicted model, not a curated record. NCBI's taxonomy places the organism in Eukaryota, Metazoa, Arthropoda, Insecta, Lepidoptera, Lycaenidae.